This is a small nuclear RNA of Hyaena hyaena (striped hyena), 190 nucleotides long. RefSeq annotates it as U2 spliceosomal RNA. NCBI's taxonomy places the organism in Eukaryota, Metazoa, Chordata, Mammalia, Carnivora, Hyaenidae. The record is from RefSeq and is a predicted model, not a curated record. The transcript has a single exon.
AUAACUUUUAAGCUUUUGGCUAAGAUCUUGUCUUGUAUCUAUUCUUAUCAGUUUAAUGUCUGAUGUGUCCUCUAUGCAAGGGCAGUAUAGUACAUGGAGAUUUGGAGCAGGGAGAUGAAAUAGGAGGUUACGCCAUCCAGUCCUCACAUUGACCUUGUACUGCAGUGCCUCCAGGUGUGUUGUAACCCCU